RNAcentral lists this long non-coding RNA (1776 nucleotides) under Anas platyrhynchos platyrhynchos (common mallard). RNAcentral describes it as "lncRNA (ENSAPLG00000028650.1)". Lineage: Eukaryota; Metazoa; Chordata; Aves; Anseriformes; Anatidae. The record is from RNAcentral.
AUGCUGAUUGCUUUAAUCUCAACUCUGCUGCGCCUGUUUUCCAAAUUGAGUAUUAUAGUACAUUAUUUUCCGUAUUUGCUCUCUGUCGUGUUGUUUAUCCUCUCCGGGCCCUGGUUUCAGAUCAUUAUGGUACUGUGUGUUGUAGCAAUGGCUUAUGAGACGAUGAAAUAUGUGGUCAUAACUCUAACUUGUUAUUUGUAUUCAGUAACAUCGUCGACUCUGUACUUUGGAAACUGUAUCUUGGAAACUACUAGCAAUUAUACCUAUUGUUUUUUUCCAUUAGGGAGUCAAUCUGUGGAGGGGAAAGGCGAGGAUAUUUUUCCUUACUUGCUUACUCUCCCUUUCUCCUUCACCACCCCUGUAUCCUCCUGGAUCACUCUGCCUUCCUCCUUCACCACCCUCUUAUCCCCUGAGCUUGUCACAAUAGCUCUCCAAGAUAUUGAAUAUUCUUGGGAUACUCGGACCACCAUAGUCUUGUUGUUCUGCCUCCUGAAUACACUUCAGGUUCUGCUUAAAGUUAAACAAUUACUUAGGAAGCUCAUCCGGAGAUCUGCCCGGAGGCAGGAUAGUUGUGGGUGGCAGGGAGUAUGGGUGGAUAUGGGCAGGCAUCUAGAGCAGUUGGCACCCCCAGUGUGUUGGAAAUUCACCCCUGAACAAUGGCAAAAUCCUCAAAAACUGGCAGAAUGCUUGAAAAAAAGGUGUCAUGAUUCUGGCAGUUCCAAAGUAACACAAAUCAUUGUAACGUGCUGGGGCCUGGCUCAUGCCUAUCAAGCUGCCAUUGAUACUGCUAUCAACUUAGUGACAGACCCUGCGGCCACUCCAAGCCCUGUGACAGAUCCAACGGCCACUGUGACCCCUAUGGUGGACUCUGCAGCCGCUCCAGUCCCAGCUCCUGCAGCCGCUCCAGCUCCAGCUCCUGCAGCCGCUCCAGCUCCAGCUCCUACCGCUGCUCCAGUCCCAGCUCCUGCAACUGCUCCAGCUCCUGCAGCCGCUCCAGCUCCUGUGGCCGUGUCAGAGAAACGAGCUGUAGCAGUGCAAGUUGACCCUGCAGAGGGUAUUCCAACCCCUGUAACGGGGUCAGAGAAACGAGCUGUAGCAGUGCAAGUUGAUCCUGCAGAGGGUAUUCCAACCCCUGUGGCAGACCCUGUAACAAGGUCAGAGAAACGAGCUGUAGCAGUACAAGUUGACCCUGCAGAGGGUAUUCCAACCUCUGUGGCAGACCCUGUAACAAAGUCAGAGAAACGAGCAGUAGCAGUGCAAGCUGCCCCUGUAGAGAAGGUGAAAAAAUGGUAUAGAGAUUCAGGUCGUUUAGAACGCAGAGAGUCUUCUGCCAAUCCAGGUAAGGCUUCUGCCAAAACUAGGUAUAGAGAUGACGAAGAUGACGACGACGCUGGGCCAUCAAGGAUUCAGGAGGAGCAAGAUGAGGAUGUCGAAAAAUCAACAGUAACUACCCGAAGCCUAAAUGAGCGCGAGCUACGAGAUGUGCGAAAAGAUUUUGGUCGCUGUAUAGGUGAGCAGCUUGUCACCUGGCUGCUCCGGUGCUGGGACUCUGGAGCCAAUUGUGUGGAAUUAGACGGCAGGGAAGCCAAGCGGCUGGGAUCCCUUGCUCGAGACGCCGGCAUUGACAAAGCAAUUGCAGAUGGAGCACAAUGGACUAUCAUGGGCUUCACUUUCCAUUUCUCUCCCCCGUCCCAGAGAGGGAGGGGGGAGGGUGAGCGAAUGGCUGCGGGGUGUUUAACUGCCGGCCGGGUUAAACCACGACAUCCUGCAGAGUAA